Molecule: ribosomal RNA, 253 nt
Filed under: uncultured bacterium
Lineage: Bacteria
Description: partial 16S ribosomal RNA
Rfam family: Bacterial small subunit ribosomal RNA
Source: RNAcentral
UACGAAGGGGGCUAGCGUUGCUCGGAAUCACUGGGCGUAAAGGGCGCGUAGGCGGAUCUUUAAGUCGGGGGUGAAAGCCCAGGGCUCAACCCUGGAAUUGCCUUCGAUACUGGAGAUCUUGAGACCGGAAGAGGUAAGUGGAACUGCGAGUGUAGAGGUGAAAUUCGUAGAUAUUCGCAAGAACACCAGUGGCGAAGGCGGCUUACUGGUCCGGUAUUGACGCUGAGGCGCGAAAGCCAGGGGAGCAAACGGG